GGUUAAGCGACUAAGCGUACACGGUGGAUGCCCUGGCAGUCAGAGGCGAUGAAGGACGUGCUAAUCUGCGAAAAGCGUCGGUAAGGUGAUAUGAACCGUUAUAACCGGCGAUGUCCGAAUGGGGAAACCCAGUGCAAUUCGUUGCACUAUCGUUAACUGAAUACAUAGGUUAACGAGGCGAACCGGGGGAACUGAAACAUCUAAGUACCCCGAGGAAAAGAAAUCAACCGAGAUUCCCCCAGUAGCGGCGAGCGAACGGGGAGCAGCCCAGAGUCUGAAUCAGCUUGUGUGUUAGUGGAACGGUCUGGAAAGUCCGACGGUACAGGGUGAUAGUCCCGUACACCAAAAUGCACAGGUUGUGAACUCGAAGAGUAGGGCGGGACACGUGGUAUCCUGUCUGAAUAUGGGGGGACCAUCCUCCAAGGCUAAAUACUCCUGACUGACCGAUAGUGAACCAGUACCGUGAGGGAAAGGCGAAAAGAACCCCGGCGAGGGGAGUGAAAAAGAACCUGAAACCGUGUACGUACAAGCAGUGGGAGCACCUUCGGGUGUGACUGCGUACCUUUUGUAUAAUGGGUCAGCGACUUAUAUUCUGUAGCAAGGUUAACCGUAUAGGGGAGCCGCAGGGAAACCGAGUCUUAACUGGGCGUUAAGUUGCAGGGUAUAGACCCGAAACCCGGUGAUCUAGCCAUGGGCAGGUUGAAGGUUGGGUAACACUAACUGGAGGACCGAACCGACUAAUGUUGAAAAAUUAGCGGAUGACUUGUGGCUGGGGGUGAAAGGCCAAUCAAACCGGGAGAUAGCUGGUUCUCCCCGAAAGCUAUUUAGGUAGCGCCUCGUGAAUUCAUCUUCGGGGGUAGAGCACUGUUUCGGCUAGGGGGUCAUCCCGACUUACCAACCCGAUGCAAACUACGAAUACCGAAGAAUGUUAUCACGGGAGACACACGGCGGGUGCUAACGUCCGUCGUGAAGAGGGAAACAACCCAGACCGCCAGCUAAGGUCCCAAAGUCAUGGUUAAGUGGGAAACGAUGUGGGAAGGCACAGACAGCCAGGAUGUUGGCUUAGAAGCAGCCAUCAUUUAAAGAAAGCGUAAUAGCUCACUGGUCGAGUCGGCCUGCGCGGAAGAUGUAACGGGGCUAAACCAUGCACCGAAGCUGCGGCAGCGACACUAUGUGUUGUUGGGUAGGGGAGCGUUCUGUAAGCCUGCGAAGGUGUGCUGUGAGGCAUGCUGGAGGUAUCAGAAGUGCGAAUGCUGACAUAAGUAACGAUAAAGCGGGUGAAAAGCCCGCUCGCCGGAAGACCAAGGGUUCCUGUCCAACGUUAAUCGGGGCAGGGUGAGUCGACCCCUAAGGCGAGGCCGAAAGGCGUAGUCGAUGGGAAACAGGUUAAUAUUCCUGUACUUGGUGUUACUGCGAAGGGGGGACGGAGAAGGCUAUGUUAGCCGGGCGACGGUUGUCCCGGUUUAAGCAUGUAGGCUGGUUGUCCAGGCAAAUCCGGAUAAUCAAGGCUGAGGUGUGAUGACGAGGCACUACGGUGCUGAAGUAACAAAUGCCCUGCUUCCAGGAAAAGCCUCUAAGCAUCAGGUAACAUUAAAUCGUACCCCAAACCGACACAGGUGGUCAGGUAGAGAAUACCAAGGCGCUUGAGAGAACUCGGGUGAAGGAACUAGGCAAAAUGGUGCCGUAACUUCGGGAGAAGGCACGCUGGUGUGUAGGUGAAGUCCCUGCGGAUGGAGCUGAGACCAGUCGAAGAUACCAGCUGGCUGCAACUGUUUAUUAAAAACACAGCACUGUGCAAACACGAAAGUGGACGUAUACGGUGUGACGCCUGCCCGGUGCCGGAAGGUUAAUUGAUGGGGUUAUCCGUAAGGAGAAGCUCUUGAUCGAAGCCCCGGUAAACGGCGGCCGUAACUAUAACGGUCCUAAGGUAGCGAAAUUCCUUGUCGGGUAAGUUCCGACCUGCACGAAUGGCGUAAUGAUGGCCAGGCUGUCUCCACCCGAGACUCAGUGAAAUUGAACUCGCUGUGAAGAUGCAGUGUACCCGCGGCAAGACGGAAAGACCCCGUGAACCUUUACUAUAGCUUGACACUGAACAUUGAGCCUUGAUGUGUAGGAUAGGUGGGAGGCUUUGAAGCGUGGACGCCAGUCUGCGUGGAGCCAACCUUGAAAUACCACCCUUUAAUGUUUGAUGUUCUAACGUUGGCCCCUUACCGGGGUUGCGGACAGUGUCUGGUGGGUAGUUUGACUGGGGCGGUCUCCUCCCAAAGCGUAACGGAGGAGCACGAAGGUUAGCUAAUCCUGGUCGGACAUCAGGAGGUUAGUGCAAUGGCAUAAGCUAGCUUGACUGCGAGCGUGACGGCGCGAGCAGGUGCGAAAGCAGGUCAUAGUGAUCCGGUGGUUCUGAAUGGAAGGGCCAUCGCUCAACGGAUAAAAGGUACUCCGGGGAUAACAGGCUGAUACCGCCCAAGAGUUCAUAUCGACGGCGGUGUUUGGCACCUCGAUGUCGGCUCAUCACAUCCUGGGGCUGAAGUAGGUCCCAAGGGUAUGGCUGUUCGCCAUUUAAAGUGGUACGCGAGCUGGGUUUAGAACGUCGUGAGACAGUUCGGUCCCUAUCUGCCGUGGGCGCUGGAGAAUUGAGGGGGGCUGCUCCUAGUACGAGAGGACCGGAGUGGACGCAUCACUGGUGUUCGGGUUGUCAUGCCAAUGGCACUGCCCGGUAGCUAAAUGCGGAAGAGAUAAGUGCUGAAAGCAUCUAAGCACGAAACUUGCCCCGAGAUGAGUUCUCCCUGAGACUUUAAGUCUCCUGAAGGAACGUU
This 2816-nucleotide ribosomal RNA is filed under the name Klebsiella pneumoniae. RNAcentral's name for it is "partial 23S ribosomal RNA". It matches the Rfam family "Bacterial large subunit ribosomal RNA". Lineage: Bacteria; Pseudomonadati; Pseudomonadota; Gammaproteobacteria; Enterobacterales; Enterobacteriaceae. The record is from RNAcentral.